RNAcentral lists this non-coding RNA (778 nucleotides) under Burara striata. The record is from RNAcentral. Lineage: Eukaryota; Metazoa; Arthropoda; Insecta; Lepidoptera; Hesperiidae.
AUAAAAAUUUAUGAUUUUCAGAAUUUAUUUAUAAUUUAUUUUACAUAUAAAUUUUAGUGUUAAUUUUUAAUUAUUUUAAUAAUAAUUAAUUUGAAAAUUAUAGUAAUUAAAAUUAAAAAUUUAAGUAAUUAAGAUUUAGAAAUAUUAAAAUUAAUAACAAAUUUUGUGCCAGCAGUUGCGGUUAUACAAAAAUAAAUUAAAUUAAAUUUUUUUCAGUGUUUAAAUAAAUGAAUAAAAAAUUAAAUUAAAUAUUAAAUUAUUGAGUGAAAUUUUAAUUUAAUUAAAAUUUAAAAUAAUUCAUAAUUUAGGAAAUUUUUAUAUAAACUAGGAUUAGAUACCCUAUUAUUAAAAAUUUAAGUUAAUAUACUAAAAUAGUAAAUAAAAGAUAUUGAAACUUAAAUAAUUUGGCGGUAUUUUAGUUCAUUUAGAGGAAUCUGUUUAAUAAUUGAUAUUCCACGAAUAAACUUACUUAAUUUAAUAUUUUAUAUAUCGUUGUUAAAAAAAUAUUUUUAAAAAAUAAUAAUAUUUAAAAAUUUUAAUAAAUAAAUUAGUUCAAAUCAAGAUGUAGAUUAUAAUUAAGAAUAUAAUGGAUUACAAUAAAAUUAUUUAAAUGAAUAUUAUUUUGUAAAUAUAAAUUGAAAGUGGAUUUAAAUGUAAUUUUGUUUAAUUUAAUAAAAUGAUUAUAAAUUGAAAUAUGUACAUAUUGCCCGUCACUUUCAUUUAAAAAUUGGAAUAAGUCGUAACAAAGUAGAGGUACUGGAAAGUGUUUCUAGAAAGA